Molecule: ribosomal RNA, 498 nt
Filed under: Clostridioides difficile
Lineage: Bacteria; Bacillati; Bacillota; Clostridia; Peptostreptococcales; Peptostreptococcaceae
Description: bacterial LSU rRNA
Rfam family: Bacterial large subunit ribosomal RNA
Source: RNAcentral
UACUACCGAAGCUACGGCAUCAGUAAUGAUGGGUAGGGGAGCUUCCCAUACGGGUUGAAGCAUGACCGUAAGGACAUGUGGACAGUAUGGGAGUGAGAAUGUUGGCAUGAGUAGCGAGAUGUGGGUGAGAAUCCCACAGGCCGUAAACCCAAGGUUUCCAGGGGAAGGUUCGUCCGCCCUGGGUUAGUCGGGACCUAAGCUGAGGCCGAAAGGCGUAGGUGAUGGACAACAGGUUGAUAUUCCUGUACUACCGAUAACCGGUUGAGAGAAGGGAUGACACAGUAGGAUAAGCUAAGCACACUGUUGGUUAUGUGUGCCCAAGCAUUGAGGCAGUCAAAGUAGGCAAAUCCGCUUUGAUAAUGCUGGGAUGUGAUGGGGAGCGAAAUUUAGUAGCGAAGUAGCUGAUUUCACACUGUCAAGAAAAGUCUCUAUCGAGGUUAAAGGUACCCGUACCGCAAACCGACACAGGUGGGUGAGGAGAGUAUCCUAAGGCCAGCG